Molecule: ribosomal RNA, 465 nt
Filed under: Comamonadaceae bacterium
Lineage: Bacteria; Pseudomonadati; Pseudomonadota; Betaproteobacteria; Burkholderiales; Comamonadaceae
Description: bacterial SSU rRNA
Rfam family: Bacterial small subunit ribosomal RNA
Source: RNAcentral
UGCCGCGUGCAGGACGAAGGCCUUCGGGUUGUAAACUGCUUUUGUACGGAACGAAACGGCUCUCUCUAAUACAGGGGGCUAAUGACGGUACCGUAAGAAUAAGCACCGGCUAACUACGUGCCAGCAGCCGCGGUAAUACGUAGGGUGCGAGCGUUAAUCGGAAUUACUGGGCGUAAAGCGUGCGCAGGCGGUUUUGUAAGACAGAUGUGAAAUCCCCGGGCUCAACCUGGGACCUGCAUUUGUGACUGCAAAGCUAGAGUACGGCAGAGGGGGAUGGAAUUCCGCGUGUAGCAGUGAAAUGCGUAGAUAUGCGGAGGAACACCGAUGGCGAAGGCAAUCCCCUGGGCCUGUACUGACGCUCAUGCACGAAAGCGUGGGGAGCAAACAGGAUUAGAUACCCUGGUAGUCCACGCCCUAAACGAUGUCAACUGGUUGUUGGGUCUUCACUGACUCAGUAACGAAGCU